UUUGGUCAUUUAGAGGAAGUAAAAGUCGUAACAAGGUUUCCGUAGGUGAACCUGCGGAAGGAUCAUUAUUGAAUAAACCUGAUGUGACUGUUAGCUGGCUUUUCGAAGCAUGUGCUCGUCCGUCAUCUUUAAUCUCUCCACCUGUGCACAUUUUGUAGUCUUGGAUACCUCUCGAGGCAACUCGGAUUUUAGGAUCGCCGUGCUGUAAAAGUCAGCUUUCCUCUCAUUUCCAAGACUAUGUUUUUAUAUACACCAAAGUAUGUUUAAAGAAUGUCAUCAAUAGGAACUUGUUUCCUAUAAAAUUAUACAACUUUCAGCAACGGAUCUCUUGGCUCUCGCAUCGAUGAAGAACGCAGCGAAAUGCGAUAAGUAAUGUGAAUUGCAGAAUUCAGUGAAUCAUCGAAUCUUUGAACGCACCUUGCGCUCCUUGGUAUUCCGAGGAGCAUGCCUGUUUGAGUGUCAUUAAAUUCUCAACCUUCCAGCUUUUAUUAGCUUGGUUAGGCUUGGAUGUGGGGGUUGUGGGCUUCAUUAAUGAGGUCAGCUCUCCUUAAAUGCAUUAGCGGAACUUUUGUGGACCGUCUAUUGGUGUGAUAAUUAUCUACGCCGUGGAUGUGAAGCAGCUUUAUGAAGUUCAGCUUCUAAUCGUCCAUUGACUUGGACAAUUUUUGACAAUUUGACCUCAAAUCAGGUAGGACUACCCGCUGAACUUAAGCAUAUCAAUAAGCGGAGGA
RNAcentral lists this ribosomal RNA (731 nucleotides) under uncultured fungus. RNAcentral's name for it is "eukaryotic LSU rRNA". The stretch from base 309 to 462 matches the Rfam family "5.8S ribosomal RNA". Lineage: Eukaryota; Fungi. The record is from RNAcentral.